Molecule: transfer RNA, 73 nt
Filed under: Streptomyces virginiae
Lineage: Bacteria; Bacillati; Actinomycetota; Actinomycetes; Kitasatosporales; Streptomycetaceae
Also listed under: 14 other names
Description: tRNA-Leu
Rfam family: tRNA
About the family: Transfer RNA (tRNA) molecules are approximately 80 nucleotides in length. Their secondary structure includes four short double-helical elements and three loops (D, anti-codon, and T loops).
Source: RNAcentral
GCCCCGGUAGCCCAGCGGCAGAGGCGAUGGAUUCAAAACCCAUUCAGCGUCGGUUCGAAUCCGACUCGGGGCA